GAUGAACGCUGGCGGCGUGCUUAAUACAUGCAAGUCGAGCGAACAGACGAGGAGCUUGCUCCUCUGACGUUAGCGGCGGACGGGUGAGUAACACGAGGAUAACCUACCUAUAAGACUGGGAUAACUUCGGGAAACCGGAGCUAAUACCGGAUAAUAUAUUGAACCGCAUGGUUCAAUAGUGAAAGACGGUUUUGCUGUCACUUAUAGAUGGAUCCGCGCCGCAUUAGCUAGUUGGUAAGGUCACGGCUUACCAAGGCAACGAUGCGUAGCCGACCUGAGGGGGUGAUCGGCCACACUGGAACUGAAACACGGUCCAGACUCCUACGGGAGGCAGCAGUAGGGAAUCGUCCGCAAUGGGCGAAAGCUUGACGGAGCAGCGCCGCGUGAGUGAUGAAGGUCUUCGGUUCGUAAAACUCUGUUAUUAGGGAAGAACAAAUGUGUAAGUAACUAUGCACGUCUUGACGGUACCUAAUCAGAAAGCCACGGCUAACUACGUG
This 497-nucleotide ribosomal RNA is filed under the name uncultured bacterium. Its description in RNAcentral is "partial 16S ribosomal RNA". It matches the Rfam family "Bacterial small subunit ribosomal RNA", at positions 28 to 507 of the family's 1533-position model. The record is from RNAcentral.